GACGAACGCUGGCGGCGUGCUUAACACAUGCAAGUCGAACGAUGAAGCUGGAGCUUGCUCCGGUGGAUUAGUGGCGAACGGGUGGGUAACACGUGAGCAAUCUGCCCUUGACUCUGGGAUAACUGCGGGAAACUGUAGCUAAUACCGGAUACUUUCACUGGGAGGCAUCUUCUGGUGAAGAAAGAAUUUCGGUCAAGGAUGAGCUCGCGGCCUAUCAGCUUGUUGGUGAGGUAACGGCUCACCAAGGCGACGACGGGUAGCCGGCCUGAGAGGGUGACCGGCCACACUGGGACUGAGACACGGCCCAGACUCCUACGGGAGGCAGCAGUGGGGAAUAUUGCACAAUGGGCGCAAGCCUGAUGCAGCAACGCCGCGUGAGGGAUGAAGGCCUUCGGGUUGUAAACCUCUUUUAGCAGGGAAGAAGCGAAAGUGACGGUACCUGCAGAAAAAGCACCGGCUAACUACGUGCCAGCAGCCGCAGUAA
RNAcentral lists this ribosomal RNA (484 nucleotides) under uncultured bacterium. RNAcentral's name for it is "partial 16S ribosomal RNA". It matches the Rfam family "Bacterial small subunit ribosomal RNA", at positions 28 to 523 of the family's 1533-position model. The record is from RNAcentral.